GGGAAGAGCUCAAAUUUAUAAUCUGGCACCUUCGGUGUCCGAGUUGUAAUCUCUAGAAAUGUUUUCCGCGUUGGACCGCACACAAGUCUGUUGGAAUACAGCGGCAUAGUGGUGAGACCCCCGUAUAUGGUGCGGACGCCCAGCGCUUUGUGAUACAUUUUCGAAGAGUCGAGUUGUUUGGGAAUGCAGCUCAAAUUGGGUGGUAAAUUCCAUCUAAAGCUAAAUAUUGGCGAGAGACCGAUAGCGAACAAGUACCGUGAGGGAAAGAUGAAAAGCACUUUGGAAAGAGAGUUAACAGUACGUGAAAUUGUUGGAAGGGAAACGCUUGAAGUCAGACUUGCUUGCCGAGCAAUCGGUUUGCAGGCCAGCAUCAGUUUUCCGGGAUGGAUAAUGGUAGAGAGAAGGUAGCAGUUUCGGCUGUGUUAUAGCUCUCUGCUGGAUACAUCUUGGGGGACUGAGGAACGCAGUGUGCCUUUGGCGGGGGUUUCGACCUCUUCACACUUAGGAUGCUGGUGGAAUGGCUUUAAACGACCCGUCUUGAAACCCG
RNAcentral lists this ribosomal RNA (547 nucleotides) under Rhodotorula mucilaginosa. Its description in RNAcentral is "LSU rRNA". It matches the Rfam family "Eukaryotic large subunit ribosomal RNA", at positions 100 to 663 of the family's 3401-position model. The record is from RNAcentral. Lineage: Eukaryota; Fungi; Basidiomycota; Microbotryomycetes; Sporidiobolales; Sporidiobolaceae.